CGGCGGACGGGUGAGUAAUGCUUUUGAAUCUGCCUAUUAKUGGGGGACAACAUCUCSAAAGGGAUGCUAAUACCGCAUACGUCCUACGGGAGAAAGCAGGGGAUCACUUGUGACCUUGCGCUAAUACAUGAUCCUAACUCGGAUUARCUAGUUGGUGGGGUAAAGGCCUACCAMGGCGACSAUCUGUAGCGGGUCUGAGAGGAUGAUCCGCCACACUGGGACUGAGACACGGMCCASACUCCUACGGGAGGCAGCAGUGGGGAAUAUUGGACAAUGGGGGGAACCCUGAUCCAGCCWUGCCGCGUGUGUGAAGAAGGCCUUAUGGUUGUAAGGCACUUUAAKCGAGGAGGAGGCUCUUUUGGUUAAUACCCAUKAUGAGUGGACGUUACUCUCAAAAUAAGCWCCGGCUAACUCUGUGCCMUCCCCCGCGGUAAUACUUAGGGUGCAAGCGUUAAUCGGAUUUACUGGGCGUAAAGCGCGCGUAGGCGGCCAAUUAARUCAAAUGUGAAAUCCCCGAGCUUAACUUGGGAAUUGCMUUCUAUACUGGUUG
RNAcentral lists this ribosomal RNA (550 nucleotides) under Acinetobacter soli. RNAcentral's name for it is "partial 16S ribosomal RNA". Lineage: Bacteria; Pseudomonadati; Pseudomonadota; Gammaproteobacteria; Moraxellales; Moraxellaceae. The record is from RNAcentral.